Molecule: ribosomal RNA, 117 nt
Filed under: Paenibacillus alvei
Lineage: Bacteria; Bacillati; Bacillota; Bacilli; Caryophanales; Paenibacillaceae
Source: RNAcentral
UUUGGUGGCGAUGGCGGAGGGGUUCCACGCGUACCCAUCCCGAACACGACCGUUAAGCCCUCCAGCGCCGAUGGUACUUGGACCGCAGGGUUCCGGGAGAGUAGGACGUCGCCAAGC